CGUGAUCCCGUUAUUGUGGAUCCUGGGACACAACCGCAAUGCCCAGCGAUCUCUACAGGAGGAUCUAGAGUCGUCGAGAGACAUAAGACAGGACGUCUAGCUGGGGCAUUUUGCUGUUGUGGUGUGCUUGGCCUGAGUUCUGCCUACAUACGUCGACAUUCAUGAAUCAUGUUAUGCUUUUGCUUCUAUACAUGCUGCUUGUAAUGAGUUCACUGUUUCAGUAAUGAAGCUUUCGGGCCAUUAACCAUUUAGCAGACCUGGACGUCUACACCCUUUAUAGUUGUCUUUCUUCAGUAGUAACAGCAACACCCAGUACAUGAAAACCCAUGACGAUUGC
RNAcentral lists this small RNA (337 nucleotides) under Cryptococcus neoformans H99. RNAcentral's name for it is "Cryptococcus neoformans var. grubii H99 hypothetical RNA". The record is from RNAcentral. Lineage: Eukaryota; Fungi; Basidiomycota; Tremellomycetes; Tremellales; Cryptococcaceae.